GUAGGUGGCAAGCGUUGUCCGGAAUUAUUGGGCGUAAAGCGCGCGCAGGCGGUUCUUUAAGUCUGAUGUGAAAGCCCACGGGCUCAACCGUGGGGGGUCAUUGGAAACUGGAGAACUUGAGUACAGAAGAGGAAAGCGGAAUUCCACGUGUAGCGGUGAAAUGCGUAGAGAUGUGGAGGAACACCAGUGGCGAAGGCGGCUUUCUGGUCUGUAACUGACGCUGAGGCGCGAAAGCGUGGGGAGCAAACAGGAUUAGAUACCCUGGUAGUCCACGCCGUAAACGAUGAGUGCUAAGUGUUAGGGGGUUUCCGCCCCUUAGUGCUGCAGCUAACGCAUUAAGCACUCCGCCUGGGGAGUACGGCCGCAAAGGCUG
This 373-nucleotide ribosomal RNA is filed under the name uncultured organism. RNAcentral describes it as "partial 16S ribosomal RNA". It matches the Rfam family "Bacterial small subunit ribosomal RNA", at positions 527 to 896 of the family's 1533-position model. The record is from RNAcentral.